GACGAACGCUGGCGGCGUGCUUAACACAUGCAAGUCGAACGGAAAGGCCCUGCUUUUGUGGGGUGCUCGAGUGGCGAACGGGUGAGUAACACGUGAGUAACCUGCCCUUUACUUUGUGAUAACUUCAGGAAACUGGGGCUAAUACCGGAUAGGAGCUCCUGCUGCAUGGUGGUGUUUGGAAAGCUUCGGCGGUUGGGGAUGGACUGGCGGCUAAUCAGCUUGUUGGUGGGGUAGUGGCUUACCCAGGCUUUGAUGGGUAGCCGGCCUGGGAGGGUGACCGGCCACAUUGGGACUGAGAUACGGAGCAGACUGCUACGGGAGGCAGUAGUGGGGAAUAUUGCACAGUGGGCGGAAGCGUGAGGAAGCAACGCCGCGAGCGGGAAGACGGCCUUCGUGUUGGAAACCGCAUUAGCCUGUGACGAAGCGUGAGUGACGGUAAUAGGUAAAGAAGCACCGGCUAACUACGUG
Molecule: ribosomal RNA, 468 nt
Filed under: uncultured bacterium
Lineage: Bacteria
Description: partial 16S ribosomal RNA
Rfam family: Bacterial small subunit ribosomal RNA
Source: RNAcentral